GCCCUCUGCCUGUAACUUGCUAUGGCCACUUACGCUGCGUUUACUGAAGUCAGUUCCCCGCUACCUCUAGAAUCAUCACACAGAUCUGGCAACCUCAAAUAAAUUAAGAUUUCUUGGCUUGAUGCACUAUAGCAGCCCCUAUUUAAACACUGGACUUGAGCAACUCUGGACACACUAACGGGGCCAAGGCCUUCAUGCUUCAAAUAACCCUGCAUCAAAGCAACCCAGCUAGAAGAGGGGGAUCAUGCUUUAUUUCCCACGAUAGGAUUAUGUUCGGAUUUAAUGUUGAUGCAUCAGUUAAGUGCUCACUUUGAAAAUCAAUACCACACUGUGUGCUUGGCUGGUUCAAUACCCCUCAGUCAACAUUAAUAAAAAACACUAACAAAACAA
Molecule: long non-coding RNA, 390 nt
Organism: Vicugna pacos (alpaca)
Lineage: Eukaryota; Metazoa; Chordata; Mammalia; Artiodactyla; Camelidae
Source: RefSeq, a predicted model, not a curated record